This 543-nucleotide long non-coding RNA is filed under the name Cricetulus griseus (Chinese hamster). RNAcentral's name for it is "lncRNA (ENSCGRG00015041173.1)". The record is from RNAcentral. Lineage: Eukaryota; Metazoa; Chordata; Mammalia; Rodentia; Cricetidae.
UUCCCAGGGUGCCUUCUGGCGGGGGCGAGGGUUGUCUGCAUCCCAGCUGGGCAGCUGGAGGAUACUGGACCCGCCUGGACUCCAGGGUCAGCCUUGCCACCCACUAGCUGCAUGCUCUGCAUCAGGGACCUGAAUAAUGCUGACAGCACAAAGUGCCCGGCCCUGCUGCAAAGUUCUCUGCAAGUUCCUACCUCCCAAUACCCCUUUGAAGUAGGUGCUGCUAACGUAAUAAGACCAAGUUUCUUCAGCAGAAAAUGGAGGCUUGUAACAGAUGCACUGUGAGGCUGAGGCUGCACAGAAAACAGCUGAAGCACAGCCCUUCGAGAGUCCCGUGGAGAACUCGAGGAACAGGGGUGUCAAACCAAACACCAGAAGAAAAACUCUGUGAGACAUUCUGUGCCCAGUCUCCCUGAAUUCUGCAAACCCACUUUCUCCGCUAGAGUGAAGGUAACCGAGUCCUGGCCGUGAAAGCUGACUGGUAAUGCCUAGAGUUCGUCGCAAGGUGGCAACAUUGUGGCGAGAAAUAGAUAUUAAAAAUCCUGG